AGGCCGCCCUGCUAGGGCCGGAGGGAGGUGGGCACGCCGGGCUCGGGACCUUCCCGGGGUCCUGCGCCCGCCCGGCCUCCCGCCCUGGGCAUGGUUGGCCCACUCCUCCCGCAGCCACCAACCUGACAGCCCCCGAGGGCGACUCCGCCGACAGACCGCCAUGCACCGGGCCCCGCCACCAGCGCCGGCCCCACAACCCGCCUGCGCCAUAGCCCGCCCGCCCGCGCGCAGCUUGCCUCGCGCGAUAUCCAGGUUCCAGGGCCGCCGCACUUUCCUUUCCUCUUGGCGCGCCUCUACCGGGCCCCGGAACCCGUAUAGAAAAUACCGGGCACGGUCCACCCCGCCCCCCGCUUCGCCGCGGCAGCCAUCCAACUUAUCCUGGUUCCGGGGCUCCUGGAGCCCAGGCGGCCGGGAUCUGAACCGAGCUCUUCGGAGCCCCGCCCCCACCAAGGCCGGGGUGACGCAUGGCCAGCGAGGCUGAGCGCCCAGGGAAGGCGUGCUGACGUCACGACGCCCGGGUCAGGGCCUGGGCGCGGCUCGGAGCCGGGUCGUCGCUAUAGCAAUCGGGAACCGCUACCUGUCCAUUCCAAGGAUUCGGUCCAGCAGAAGCGUGAGGAGGUGGCGGAGGCCCCGAGGGCUUUGCGUCAUCACUUCUGCGGCCUGCGGGCGAGAAGGUGCGCUUCGGGAGUAGCGCGGGAGGACAGGAGGCGCAGGUUGUGAGGGACGCAGGCCCUGGGGCUUCGGUCUCUGUCCUCCGAGCUCAGAGCCUCCAGGCUUCUUCCCGGCCGCGCGCUCAGCACUCACUGUCUUACGGUCCCGAAGCGCUUUAAGGUGCGCAGUCCGCAGGCCUUGCCUACUGAUCUUCCAGCCACCCCUUGAAGGAAGCAGUUGCAGGUAUUAAGAGCUCCUUAUUGAAAAGGACGAUGUAGAGGGGCGGUGAGGGACUCGCCUCCGCAGGGAGGGCGCCCUGGCGGUCUUCUCAGGUUCUCUCUCAUUCCCGCGUCAGCUCCACCGUCAGGCUCGAAACCGACUACUCCCUUUUGUAGGCUUGCUUUGGGUUGAACAUAAAAACCAAGCCCCUUUACUAUUUCCCUGCUGGGAGGGGCUGCGAUUGGGAAAUUUUCAGAAACCUGAGGGAAAAUUAAAAGGGAGCGAGCUUUCGGUAAAAAAUCAAAUUAAAAAGGAGGGGCGUUAGAGAAGGAACUGGUAAAGAUUGCCUUUUAGGAGAGGAACUGGGUGGCUGGAAGAAUGAGGUGAGAAACUUUCCCCUCUCUAUCCUUUCAGACUUUAACUGGUUUCUUUUGUAUCUUCCCCGCCCCGAAAACAAUUUAACUUAAUAAGAAUAAUUUUUAAAGGACGUAAACUAGACACAGUUACAAAGUACGGGGUUUGGGGCUUGUGGUAGCUAAAGGUGUCUUUGGGGAUGCGGGCAUCCUUUUCCUCUCCUGCCUGAAGAGCUUAACUAGAAAGCCCCCCUUUCGGUCUUAGACAUCCCCUCUUCCUGACUUGUUCUGGCUGGGACCAGAGUUCAGUUUAGGUAGGCCAGUGAGUGACAUUUGAUGGUUAGAAUUCCUACGGUUAGAAUUAAUCCCUUCUGUAUCUCCUAGUAUGGAAAUAAACUGCCUGGCCACUAUGCUGCCCUCUUUCCAUUCCUUUUUGGUGGAAGUUUGACAAGUUAUUUCCCAUAGAAAAUAACUUAUAGGCCGGGCGCCGUGGCUUAAACGCCUGUAAUCCCAGCACUUUGGGAGGCUGAGGCGGGCGGAUCACGAGGUCAGGAGUUCGAGACCAGCCUGGUCAACAUAGUGAAACCCCCCCUCUCUACUAAAAAUACAAAAAAAUUAGCUGGGCGUGGUGGCGGGCGCCUGUAAUCCCAGCUACUCCGGAGGUUGAGGCAGGAGAAUUGCUUGAACCCGGGAGGCGGAGGUUGCAGUGAGCCAAGAUCGCACCAUUGCAGUCCAGCGCGGGCAACAGUGUGACUCCGUCUCAAAAAAAGAAAAAAAAAAAGAAAAAGAAAAAGUACCUUAUAGAUACAGAGAGAAGAUUAAGUAGCUCCUCUUAUAAUAUGAAUUGAGGGUUAGAAAUACCGCAGGGAAUAGAACUCAGGCUGUACCUGAGUUUGUCCCUCUCCAACCACCCUUUUUCCAUAGCUCUCUCUGUAUAUAUAUAUCUGUCUUUUCUCACAUUCCUUACGGAUCGUAAUCUGAUGGCCAGUCACCUCUGCAAUUAUACAUUUAACAAGAGCUCUGGGAAACAGUGUCUGAAUCUGAAGUAAUGAUCCUAAUGGAAGGUAAUUUCAGGUUCUCAGGAGAAUUGGUGAGGAUAUUUUGGAGGGCAGUAUUGAAGACCAUUGCUAGCAGUUUCUCUCCUAUCCCUUCCACUCAACAUAUAGGCUGGUGAUCUUCAGACAUUUUUUAGAAUGAACCCAUAAAAGAAUUUUGAAGAGCUAUGUACCUCUUGUUCAUUUUUAAGUUGAUACCUAAAUUUUCCUUCAUUAAUUUAAAUACUUAUAGAGGAUACAAUUUCAAAUUUUGACAUCUUAAACUAAGACUUACAUCAUUCUUUUUUUCUGAGACGGAGUCUCGCUCUGUCAACCAGGCUGGAGUGCUGCAGUGGCGAAAUCUCAGCUCACUGCAACUUCCCCUUCCAGGAGAAUCACUUGAACUCGGGAGGCGGAGGUUGCAGUGAGCUGAGAUCGUGCCACUGCACUCUAGCCUGGGCUACAGAGUGAGACUGUCUCACAUUAAAAAAAAGUAUCCGGUGGAUUCCAAGUACCCUAAAAAUCUAAUGCCUACCAUCAUCCACUUAAAAAUAUAUGAACAAGCUCUUCAACAGAAAUUUUAUAUGGUUCUCUUUCUCCUUAUACUUUGAAUUCCAUUCACUUCCUGUAAUCAUUAGUAUAUAACUUACUAAACUUUUUUUUUUUACUAAAUAUUACUAAAUACUAAAUUUUCCUAAAUAUUUUUAACAUUUUUAUGACUUGUGAAACCUAAAAAGUACAAUUUUUAUUGAAAAUGCAUCUGUUAAUGAGAAAUAUGGUGUUUCUCCCCAAUUAGUUCAGGUAUUCAUGGAUUAAUAUUACCUAAUGGUAGAAGGAGAUAAGGUGCAACAUCAAUCCUUUACCUGUUUUUUAUUUUUAUAGACAUGAGUAUUGAGAAACCUUGUUUCCACAAUUGGGAAAGGAAGAGAUUUGUUACAAUGAUAUUCUUUGAGUCUUUGAACUUCUAAAUUAUAUGCCAACAAUCACAGAGUGAUCUAUUAAUACUAUCAAAUAGAGUCUUCUUUUAAUUUUGUUAAAAGCAAAGGAUUAGAAACCACUGAACUUCCAAAAGGAUUUAGUUAUUAGAGUCUCAGUUUUGGUUUUAUUAAACAUGAUUAUUAAUUAUCUGUGACCUUUACACUCAGAGACACUUUGUUAAUCAGAUAUUGAUUUCCAUACUUCUUUGCCUACACAAUAUUUUUUGGUAAAAUUCUUUAAUUAUUACAUGUCUUCAAGAACUUUUUGUUAAACUGAAAUGCAGAUUCAGCUCAUUCACUGUAUAGAAAACAACUGCCAUUUGUGGAAUUGGCAAAGCCAGUUUUCAUUUCAAACCAAUCAGCCAAAUCAGACCUACUUUCUGUUAGAAACAUGUCUGACUUUAUUCUUCCAUUCAAAUAAAUAUGUUAACAUUCAUUUUGAGGAAUAUUAUAAAAAUUAUUAGGAAAUAAAUGAUUAACUAUAGCUUAUAAAAUGGACCACUGAUAAACCAGUCAAGAUUAAAAUUAUUUAGACCUACUAUUAACAUAAUAAAUGGUAAAAAUAAGAUAGUACUGUUUUUCAUUAUAUAAUUAGGAAUAAUGCUGUAUAAUGUAUAGUUAAAUCCAUCAGUUUUGAGAAGUCAUAUAGAAGGCAUAUAUUCCCUUGGUAAAUGUGUGUGCCUGCUUUCAUCAAACUCUUGUUGUUCAGCUUUUGGGAACAAUUAAAUGAGAAUCAUGUCUAAAAAUCAGAAAUAACUAAUAAUCUUGUUACACAAAUUUUUUUCUUCUGUAUUUUUUAGAAAGGAAAGCUGUAUUUGCUAAGAAAUAAUGAAUUGAGCAGCUAGCAAUUUCACUUUUUACUAGGAGGUAGAAAAUAAUAAACAUUUUAUAUAAGAUAAAAUAGGAAGACUGAUUGCAAUGGGAAUAUUUUGAUAUGAAGUGGAAAAUAAUUGCUCCCUCCAAGCUCCUCAGGUUUUUACACCCUGGACCAUGCAUCAAGAUUCAGUGUAGGGGAGAGACAUUCCUUUCUUUUGUAAAGUAGGACAAGGACUAUGGUGAAAGUGGGGGCAGUGGUAGAGUGGAGAAUGUGCAUGAAUAUGUCAGCUGGCUCCCAAAUGGAUUGGUUUUUAGAAUUUUUUUUUUUUUUUUUUUUUGAGACGGAGCCUCGCUCUGUCACCCAGGCUGGAGUGCAAUGGCAUGAUCUCAGCUCACUGUAACCUCUGCCUCCCGGGUUCAAGCGAUUCUCCUGCCUCAGCCUCCUGAGUAGCUGGGAUUAUAGGCGCGUGCCACCACGCCCGGCUAAUUUUUGUAUUUUUAGUAGAGAUGGGGUUUCACCUUGUUGGUCAUGCUGGUCUCAAACUCCUGACCUUGUGAUCUGCCUGUCUUGGCCUCCCAAAGUGCGGGGAUUACAAGCAUGAGCCACUGUGCCUGGCCGUUUUUUUUGUUUUUGUUUUUGUUUUUUGAGAUGAAGUUUUGCUCCUGUUGCCCAGGCUGGAGUGCAGUGGCACGACCUCGGCUCACUGCCACCUCCGCCUCCUGGGUUCAAGCGAUUCUCAUGCCUCAGCCUGCCAAGUAGCUGGGAUUACAGGUGCCUGCCACCACGCCCGGCUGUUUGUUUUUUUUUUUUUCUGAGAUGGAGUCUUGCUCUGUUACCCAGGCUGGAGUGCAGUGGCCCAAUUCAGCUCCCUGCAACCUCCCCUUCCUGGGUUCAAGAGAUUCUCCUGCCUCAGCCUCCCAGGUAGCUAUAAUUACAGGUGUGCACUGCCACACCCGGUUAAUUUUUGUAUUUUUAGUAGAAAUGGGGUUUCACUAUGUUGGCCAGGCUGGUCUCAAACUCUUACCUCAGGCGAUCCGCCCGCUACAGCCUCCCAAAGUGCUGGGAUUACAGGUGUGAGCCAGUGCACCCGGCCUGGUUUUAGAAAAUAUUUUAUAGGGAAGUUGAGGAUCUGGAAAUUUAUUCCUUUAAAACUCUCCUCAGACUGAUUUGAGGCUAUUUCCUGGGUAUUCCUUGCAGUCUUACGUACCCUAGGAAAAAUCUUCAUUUACCCCACUUGGAAGACUUCUUAAUAUAGGCAUAUCCAAACUCCAAUGUCCCUGACUAUCCAUUAUUUUGAGACACCAAAGCAAAUGUCCUACGAAGUAAGGAGGAAGACGUGUUGUUCUUAGAAUAGAAGUGAGUUAUGAGAGAAGUCAAAGAGGAUGGCUCCAAGUUGGUAUAGUGUGAAGGUCAUGGAUAUGGUCCUUGGCUUUGCAGUUCUAGAAGUGUGAUUUUGGGUCAGUCCACACAAAGGUGUUCAUGUUUUGUCACAUUAAAUCAAACUCAUAGGAAGUUAAUGUACAUAAUAGAAUGCCAGUGCAUUCUUUUAUACUUACAGCCACCAAGUGAACUGGAUUAUCGCUCCUGUUGGGUAAAUCUUAUCUGGGAAGAUCAAUUAUAAUCAGAAAGUUACAUGAGGAGUGUGGAUCUUGAGCAUGGCUAUUGUCAAUAAGCUGAUGAGCAGGUGCUCACUACCUGGCAUAUAAUAGGAUCUCAGUAAUUAUGGAAUGAAUGUACUUCAUCUGUAUCUUCAUUAUAGAUGCUAAAGGGUAAGUUUAAGAUUCUGAUAGGCCACCCCACAUGUUUUUUGAUCAGGUAGAUUUUUCCUUGUUGCUCAAGUUAUACUCUUAAAUGGCUAUAUCAUGUAGAUAUUAAAUCCAAUAAAAUUUCAUGAAAGGGAAUUAUAUAAUUGCAACAGCAAAGUUUUAUCUAUAUCUCUGAGCCUAGAAAUUGGGACUGUUCAUUUAUAAUAGAGAUUGGAGAUUGCUUUCUCCUGCCCUGUAGGAGUAGUGAUGGUGGUAGUGACUAAAUGAUCUGUAUUUCACAAUACUAUUUGGUGGCUAAGAGUGUACUGCAUACAAAGAAUGACACUGGGUGACCCUCAGUGCUGGCGCUUUCCUAGAGGUGGGACAUCCUGAGUAGGGAGGUGCUGAACCACCUGUGGGCUGGCCAGCUGUUGUGGACUGUACUGUGGAGAGGAGGAACAAUAAAUUUCCCCCACUCCUUAGAUCCCCCUCAGGAGAUAAUACUUGAUGCUGCUUUUAAGGACAGAGAAAAGACAAGCCUUUUCAAAUUUUAAAAUCAUUAGGGAUGAGUUGCCAAAAAAUUUGGGUUAAGUUUUAUCUGGAAGCCAGAAGACAUUGUCUCCUCAAGGCUUUUUCUGGCUCUGGGAUAAGCUAUUGAGAUAGAGGAAAAGAUGCCGGGCUGAGGAGUUUCAUUUAGUAUUUUAAUAAUAAUAAAAAAGACAUACAAAAUCCAAACAUUUCUUUUUACAAUUCAGAUACAUAUUUUUCCCCAAGUGCAAAAUACUCUAUGAACUGCAUCAUUUGCUGUUUAUUGUCGAUUGUAUAGGAGAUGCUUACUAAAUUGGCAGCAGUGGAAGGCAGAUAUAAAUACAAUAUUUUGAAAUUUCUUCUGCAUUUAACAAAAAGCCUCCCACAUGGCGAUGAUUAUUCUGAAACUUGAGUUCAGCUCACACAGAAGUAUAAAGUUUUCAGUUUGUUCAAACUGCUACAACCUGUGGUGUCUAAAAAAGCUGAUGACAACUGGGGGUUCUAUUCCUUCUAAUCAUAUAUUUCCUUGUACAAAUAAUGGCACAAGGAUAGGGUGUGCUACUUUUGAGACGGGUCAAAUGUAAAAAUAUCCUUGUGUUGUUCGCUCCCACUUUUAUUGUGCUUAAGAAAGAAACCUGGAGGGUUAACAUUUUCUGCUUAUGCUCAGUUAUACUUUGUCUUGGUACCCCUUGUUUGUGGCUGUAAUAUUGAGGUUAAGCAGCAAAUACAAAAGUUCGAGUGCUCUAUAACGUUUUCUGACAUUUUGAGAUAUGACCUCAUAAUCCAUUCCAGAGUCACCUCAAACAUGUAUAUAGAGAACACUUCUCAUAUAAAAAGUUUCUCUAGGGCCAAAGACCAGGACUGUGUUACUGAACUUUCAGCAACAAAUCUGAGUCUCCACCACCUCAAACUGACCAAAUCUUGGGGGCUGUUAAAGCAGUCACAGCUCAGUGCCAGCCUUUGGGGAUUUCUAGGCCUGGAGCAGGCAGCUCAGAUCCAGGAUCUGGUCAGUUUUCUUCUGACUCCAAGAGUUGUCUCAGGUUGUAGGAAUAGGCAUGGCCUGAUAAUAUAGAAAGAGGGAGGCAGAGAAGUAAAGAGGAACUGCCAUGUUGCUGAGGAUAUAAGUGCCUUUCUGGUGUGCAUUACUUGGUGCGUGAAGCCCUCCCAUUUCCAGGCUCAGAGCAGGUGAGGUUUUGUACUAAGAUGAAUGGAAGCCCCACAAUACUGUCGCCCCACACCCUACACGCUGCAGAGAGGCCUCUGGGUUGCUUCAUGAAGGGAUCCUAUUUAUACCAUCUUUCCAUUUCCCUCCAAUGGUAAAAACCUCUCUUCUGUCUGACCUGUAAAGACCUAGAAUGUCCCUGAGCGUUGACUCCUCAUUCAAUCCAGUUAACCCCUAGUUUGAUGUCCCAGGGCCAGCCUCCUCCAUAGAUUCAGCAGCAGCUUUGCCUGGGUUCUUAACCCUCCAACUUGGAGGACCUAAAUUAAACUUGGUGGACAAUAGCAGGUUUUUACCUGCUCACCAAGAUCUGCCUUGACAUCAAUUAAGAAGCCUAGUGGUCUAUGCCUUCCGUACUGUGGAACUCAUUUGCAGGUCUCAUAAGCCAUGGAAUAAAUGGUUGAAGGAUGUGUAUUUGUAUGUAUGUAUGCAUGGUGUGACAGGAAAGGAAGGGAGAAAGGAGAAGCCAGACCCUGAAGGCAUAAAUUAAGAAGCAUGGUCACCGUUUGGCUUUCCAAGAGACGCAAAACGGCUGGCAGAGAGGAAUCAGAAAGUUAUCCUAGGCUGGGCGCGGUGGCUCAUGCCUGUAAUCCCAGCACUUUGGGAGACUGAGGCGGGUGGAUCACCUGAGGUCAAGAGUUCAAGACCAGCCCGGGCAACAUGGUGAAACCCCAUCUCUACUAAAAAUACAAAAAUUAGCUGGGCGCGGUGGCGCAUGCCUGUAAUCCCAGCUACUUGGGAGGCCGAGGCAGAAUUGCUUGAGCCUGGGAGGCGGAGGUUGCAGUAGGCCGAGAUAGCACCAUUACACUCCAGCCUGGGUGACAGAGCGAGACUCCAUCUCAAAAAAAAAAAAAAAAAAAAAGAAAGAAAGAAAGAAAGUUAUCCUAGCUUCUGGUGGAGAAUUAGGAUAGUCAGAGUUGAUUAAAGCAGUUUUCAUGGUGCUUCCUGGGAAGUACAGAGACACUCAUACUAAAUGACCAUUUCCCUUGUUUGGAAGCAGCCAUUUUGCAUCUUUACAGUGGCCCUCCUUGACCCAGAAAGACAAAGGUAGCCAGACACUCUACCCACAAGGACCAUGAUGUUGGCUAAUGGUUGUCAGGGAAUCUAGCUGUGUCAUUGGCUACCUACUGCUAUGGCCGUUUUGGCUGAUGAAUGCUACUGAUGGGAGGGCAGGGAGUCAGACUCCUUUAUUUAGUGUUGAGUCUCCUGGGGGAGCAGUAGCCUAGGACAGUCACCUAGAAAUGAACCUGAGCUGUUCUGUGAGUUACCAGGAGAGUUAAAAAGAAAAAAAAAAAAAAAAGAAAUGAACCUGAGGACUCAGUUGGUAGCCUUUGAUUGAUUGGGACUACAGCUUUGGGGGAACUAGAGUGAGAAAACAGAAAAUAAUUUUAUAGGCAACACUUGGAUUAAGGGCAGAAUGUGUGCAGGCUUUGGGCUUGGGCAUGGACUUGAUUCUUCUUCCAUUUGAUUCUUUCUUCCUUCUGAAAAACAGUAGUUGAGGAAGCUAAGCUUGAAGUCAACUUCAAAGGGAAGUGACCAGAGCCAGGCAAAUAUCUGAUGCCUUCUGUCUUAUUCUUGGCUCCCACAGCUUUGUCUCUGGCCUCGGGACCCUGAGUCAGCCCAUCCCCAGGUGGUAUGUCCUGGUCCUCUUCCAUGUGUACACCAGGGGAUAACAGGAUGAAGACAGGGAAAAGAUGGAGGUUUUCCCUACUUGGGGUAGAGAAUCACUGACCAGUUCCAUUGGCCUCUAUAAUCAUGAGGUCCACACUGACUCCAUGGAGAGGCAUAGGGAUAGCAAGAUUGGUUUAGCAAACAUAGGUCUCUCUCCUUUCUGCUCCAUCAAAUCCCCAGAAUUACUUUCCUACACAUCAGAUGCCUCUGCGCAAUUACCCUGGAUUACCACAGCCAAGGGCUCUAGGUGGCCAGUGGUGGCAUAGAGACAGAUCAGAUGCUCCAGCACUCAAGGUUCAUGAGAUUCAAAACCGAUUUUCUUCCACUCCAAACAUACACUCUUUUCUCUUGGGCAGCUAUAAAUAGGGUUUUGCUAAUAGAGGAAGAAGAAACAAAAACAAAAAACAAACCCAGAAAACAAAAACCCCUCCGUCUAGACAACAUAGAAAGACUCAAAAUGAUUGCACUUAUUAGGUGUGGACAGGGUGGGCAGGAGGCUCGCCAAGUGCACACACAUUCCUUUUGCUGCCCACAGCCUGAGGCCAGAGGUAGGUGGCUCCAGGCUGGCUUCAGAGUGGGGUCCUCUUUGGUGAAGCCCACAAGCCAGCUGGGGCUACAAGGGAAAAACAACUGUAGGGCAAGGCCUAGGCUGGCUUCAGGUCAAUAACCAUGUUUAAGGACAACAUGUAGCAAGGGGAGUAGGGCUCCCCCAGGGAGCAUCACAUGGGGCUGAGGAGGUGGCUGGGCCAGGGAAGACAAGAAAAGGGAUUAGUGUUUGAAGUUGACUUCCAAUUGUUCUGUGUCUAGUCCUUUAGAUGAUACAUUUUUUCUUUCUGUUUUCUUUUUUUUGGCAAUGCUUUAAAACCUUGUUUCUGUCCUGCAGAGUUACAGUCUUUCUCUCAGGGAGCUACAGCGGGGCAUUCACCAUGACAAUGCCUGCUGCUCUUCCUCAUUUAGCCGGUGUCCACUAACUCAGUGUUGUGGGCCAUUUGUAAACCCUUAUGGAGUAGACCCCAGGCAGACGUAGGGAAAGAAAGAGAGGAUCUGUAUAGACAAGAAAGCUGGCCAUGUGGGAAGUCCAGAGCUCAAACCAUGUGCCCCAGAGGACUGGUGCUGGCAUUAAGCCUGUAAAUCAAAGGCUUCUUUGGCAGGACCCUGGGCUGUUAGAAUCACCCUAGGGAGCAGAGCCAGGGGACAUUUUGGCCCCUGACUAGCAAGGCACAACCCUAUAAUGGCAGAAGCCCUUCUUUCCCCUCCCCGUUUCCCACCAGACCCACUUCCUUGAUGGGCCUCUAGCACCCUUCCAAGCUGAUGGGGUCGGGAAUGUGAGCUGGUAAAAUGGGCAGUGGAAGGGGCUGUACUGUUUCUUUACAUCUCACGGGGACUAGAGCCAGUACUGAAUGGCUUUUCUAGGUAGUGUGUUAGAAAAGGGGGAACAGUAGAGAGGCAGGCAGAGAGAGACAAGGAAAGGAAACUAGAAAGACAGAAAGGGAGAGUGCCUGGUUUGUGUAGUGAUAUUUUUUUUUUCCCUCCAAAAAGAGAGGAGAGAGUUCCUUGUCUGAGGGUAGGGGGCUGCCGGCUCUGAGGGCUAAGGAGUCUGGGGGCUUAAAAAAUUGGGUCUCUGAGCCUAGGGUUACUAUUUGUAGGGCCUCAGGAAGCUGGAAACUUUGGAGCGGAGCAGCUUGAUGAAGGAUUUUGGCAGCAUCUCCUUGUGUUUCUCUGUGUACUUGAAGUAGUUCUGGGGGUGGGCUAGCACCUCAAAGAAGGCCUUGAUGAGCUUCUUGUCCUGCAAAGGAUGGCAGGGAGCAAUGUCAGCCUCACCGUCGGGGGUGGGAAAGAGAAACACCAUGACUCAGCAGCCCUUCUUGAUGUCUACUAGGCAUCCUAUACUGAAUAUAUCCAGAGGGCAACUCUGGAUUCCCAUUCCCACCAUCUGCCCUUAUUCUGGAAUUCCACAACUGAAUCAGUGGCAGCUCCAUCCUUCUGUUGCUUAGGCCCCAAUCCUUGGAGCCAUCCUUGAAUCCUCUUUCUUGCUUACAAGUAUAGCAAAUCCUAUUGACUCUACCUUCAAAAUAUGUCUGGGUCUGACCACUUAUCAUCUUCCCAAGCCACCACUGUCUCUGACUUGGAGUACUGUAGUAGCCUCCUAACUGGUCUCCAUGCUACCUUUGUCCCUCCGUAGACUCUUCUCCCCACAGCAGCCAGAGUGACUUUUUGUGUUUUUAAUUAGUUCAUCUUUUUCCUGUUUGAAACUCUUCUCUGGUUUCUUUUAUCACUCAUUGGCAGAAUGUGAUCUGUAUCUUGCUUUCCACCUCCACUCUUGCUCCCUCUGCUGAGCCACACUGGCCUUCUGGAGGUUCCUGAACACACUAAAUUGCUCCCAUGCUCCUUAGCUUGGAAUGCUCCUCCCUCAUCUUCUAAUGGGGAGCCCUUUUACCUCAUUUGGGUCUCUUCUCCUUAGAGGCCUUUCCUGACCACCCUGUCUACAACAGUAGCAUGGUAUGUGGAGAGCCUACUAGGUGCCAGGCACUGUGCAUUAAAACUCAGGUCUUCUGGCUCCUAGGCUGGUGCUCCUUCCAUGGCGUCAGUGGAUUUUUCAAAUAAGAAGUAGGGGUUUCAGCCUCUUACCCCACUUUAAUCAGAACAGCUGCACUGCUUUAUGUGUUGGAAUUCCACAGUACAUUUGAUUUGAAAUAAGGGUUCAGAUGCUUUAAAAAUGUUUGAAAAGUAUUAUUAAAAGUAUAUUCUUUGAAGUCUGCAAGUUCUAGGUGAUUUUUGUUGUCAAGGCUUUUAUUUUGAUGAUAAUAUAAAAAUAUUUUGCUAACACUUAACUUUUUUGCAGUGAUAAUUUAUGAAGGAUAAUUCUAUGACUACGACUAUAGUUUCCUUUUUUUUUUUUUUUUGAGACUGAGUCUAACUCUUGUUGCCCAGGCUGGAGUGCAAUGGCAUGAUAUCAGCUCACUGCAACCUCUGCCUCCCCGGUCCAAGCAAUUCUCCUGCCUCAGGGUCCCGAGUAGCUGGGAUUGCAGGCGCCCGCCACCACACCCAGCUAAUUUUUUGUAUUUUUUUAGUAAAGACGGGGUUUCACUAUGUUGGCCAGGCUGGUCUGGAACUCCUGACCUCAGGCGAUCCACCCGCCUCAGCCCCCCAAAGUGCUGGGAUUACAGGCAUGAUCCACCAUGCGCAGCCAGACUAUAGUUUCUUAAGGAAGAUUUUCUUAAAUUGGGAUUCACCGACCCAGGGCAUCUAGUCCAUUCUUCCAUGUUGGAAGUAUUUAUUUUCCUUGAAAAGAAGUCUGUACAUAAAUUGAUUCUGAGAAAGCUGUGCUAGAUCUGCCGCUGCUUUUUUUGUUUUUGUUUUUUUGAGACAGGGUUCACUCUUGUCACCCAGGCUGGAGUGCGAUGGCGCCAUCUCGGCUCACUGCAACCUGCGCCUCCUGAGUUCAAGCAAUUCUCCUGCCUCAGCCUCCUGAGUAGCUGGGAUUACAGGCGCCUGCCACCGCACCCGGAUAAUUUUGUAUUUUUACAAAAUUAAGACGAGGUUUCACCAUGUUGGCCAGGCUGGUCUCAAACUCCUGACCUCAUGUGAUCCACCCGCCUCGGCCUCCCAAAGUGCUGGGAUGACAGGCGUGAACCACCACACGCAGCCUAUCUGCUGCUGCUUAAUGAGGCCUGGGGAGAGAAUAGGGGAAGGAAGGGACUUAUGCAAAAGUAUCUUUCUAUACUUCACUUUCCCUAUGUCUCUUGGAAGAGGUAGGGACAUUUCUUCUCCUCACUUUCCCUUUCUCUUCCAAGUUUUCCCCAAGGUGUAAUAUAGUGUGGGUGACGCUGCAGUCGGAUAGGCUUGGGCUCAAAUCCCAGCUUCCCAUGGGGCAGGUUCUUUAACUCUCUAUACCCCAGUUUUCCCAUCUGUAAAGAAGCAAUGGAGAAAGCACCUACCUCAUAGAGCUAUUGUGUCUAUCAAGUGAGAAUAUUCAUGUAAGCACUUAGCCUAUUGCCUAUAUAUUGUUACAUGCUUAUUAAAUGUUAGCUAUCAUUAUUGUUAAUAUUCAUUCACCUUUAAAAUCUCCUGGUGGUUUUCAGAGGCAUAGAGCCGGCCAUCUCGCACAAUGUCUUCUACCAGCUGCUCAUAGUCCUCUGCAAAGUCAACCAAGGUGAGGGGCUCAGGGGCGGGAGCUCUUCCUGCUCUCCUGGUUCCCUCUCAAAACUGACAUACCUCCCCUUCUCACCCACCUCCUUGGCUUACCAUCAUAGGUAACAUAGGGAAUCUGGAAGCCACGGGCGCUGUUGGCCUCGCUUGUCUUGAAGUUGAUCCAGAGCUUCCUGGAACGGGCAGUGAAGGCAAUGGGACGCUCGUAGGUCUGGCAGGUCUCAUAAGUGGUAAUGGAGGAUGGGGAUGCUGGGAAGGCAAGCAGCAGGUCAGUAGAGCAGCAGGGCAGGCUACCCAAGCCCUCCUAGAACGUGGGCUGUACAGCUGGUGGUGGGGGUAUAGGGCAAGAGAAUCAUUCUGACAAAGGCUCCCCCUUCGCAUACACACACCCUACCCCACACCCUCUCCCAUUGCCCACUGGGCUCAUUCCACAAUUCCUCCUUGAUACCUGGGCACUCACAUAGUGUAAUAAAUAUGACAUUUAAAUGAAUGGAAUGGCAAAAAUGCUAGGAUAGGAAAGUGAUACAUGUAACGCCAUUGGAGUUCUAGCCCCACUGCUAGCUUUCUUAACUCUGUUUUCUACCAAACAUGUGUCAUUGCUGUUUUCCUUUGUUAGCUUCUCUCUUCCUAAAGGCCUCUCACUAUUUCACCCUCAUAGAUCCCUAACUUCACUGCCCCAUUUCUUCCUGUAUCAGUCUCUCUCUUUGUUCUCCGCCUUAACCAGAUUUGGACUGCCCUUCCCUGGCCCAGCUCUGCAAGCCACCCACAGUUCUUUCUCAUGACGAGGACGUCCCCACACUCAUCCUCAGAUGGCAGGAAGAUCUCUGGUACCACGAUAAGGAUCUUGCGCUUGGGUGGGGGGUUGAUGUUCCAGAUGCACUCCACACCAGCUGGGUAGUUGCCCGGGUAGUUGGGGGACUCAAUAUAGCCAGUGAACUCACCCAGCUCCCCACCACACUGACGAUCUGCAGCCAAACCCCAGUGGAUAAAACAAGACAGAGAAGGGAAGUCAGUGGGGAAGUGUGCUGGGGGAAUUGAAGAGUUCUGAAGUAGAGGUCAGACAUUUAUGGGAAGUCUGCGUUCUAGUUCAUCAUUAUUUUCCAAGCUCUGAGUCCAUCUUCCUUCCUGCCCUUUUAGUACCUUCUCUUCUCACUUCACCUGUCUCUGCUUCCUCAUUAACUGUCUCCAGGGAGAGGGUGUUACAGGGUCCAGCCUAGCAACUGGCCUUGAGAUUGAGUGAGUUGGGGAGAGGUGGAAGGUGGAGUUUUCCUGCUCCUCCACCCCCCAGCCCUGCUCCCUGUUGGUUUCACACCCCUCCUUUAGAUGUCCACUGCUCCCAGGCCUCUCUCCUCCCUUUUGCACAGCCUGGCUUGCCACGUACUCUUGCAUUGGGCCACACUGGUAGAGCCAUCAAAGUCUGUGCUUGUGUUUCCUGGACAGCGGCUGCAGAAGUUCUGACGGAAGUCGGGCUGAUAGGAGCCCAUGGCACAGCGAAUACAGCGGUGGAUGCUGGUGUUGUAGUAGUGCCCUGGGGAGCACUGGACUGUAGGCAAGGGAGAAGGGCAGGAAUCAAGAUGGUAGGCAGGUGGGAGUUACGGGGCAUGGGAUGGACAGGAUACAUUCAUCCUGGAGAAUCAGGAGAUCAGAUACAUCAAAGUUCUUUUCUAGGGUCUCAAUCUUUCCCAGUCAUGCCAGAAUUUAAGCCCACGGAAAAACAGAGUUUACAGAGUGGUUGGCUACAGUGCCAAUCCUUUUCUUUCAGACGCUGAGCACAGUGCCAAACCUAUAUAGAAACUCAUUUGGGAUAUGGAGGAGAAUAUGCCACCAGUUCUCCAAAGUGGAGGGGUGAAGCCAUGCCUCCCUUUCCCUCACCUGUGUAAACUGGGUAUGAAGACAGAGGACACCAGGAAAGAAGCCAGAGAAAGAGGAACAGUGAUGAAGGUAAGGAUGGAGAUUGGUCACAUUGGUCGGAUAGGUAACUGGGGGUUGCAGCUGGUUGCAAUGAGCAGCCAGGGAAUGUAGGAACCUGGGAAGUGGCUCUGGGUGCAGGCAGAGCUAUGGCCAUGGUGCUGAGGUUGGAGGGGCAGGGUGGGGAAAGGCAGCUGAGCCUCACCUCCUUGUGGAGCAGGGACCAUUUCUGUGGACAGGCCACAGCCCUGUCCUUCCUCCCCUCCCCCCUGUGCCUGGGCUUGCUGCCAUAUUCCCUAGCCUUUCUCCUAUUUUGGCUUAACAAAACAAAGUCUGACAACUUGGCGGGGAGGGAUCUGGGGAGAGCUGCCAGGCCACACCCUAGAUGGUGGGGGUGGGGGGCAGGGAGAACAGUAGGCUCUCACCCCCAAAUCACCACCCCUAGGUUCUAGAGCCAAGCUCACCCUGGAGCCCCCAAUUCAACACCUUGAUUCCAUCUCUAUGCUAGCUACUGCCCUCCCAAGUCCAUGGCCCUUCUCAGUUUGCCUUGGCCCAGGAGGCAUCACGUAGAUUGGUUGUCAAAUGGAGCAGCUAGAAUCUGGGCUCCUGAGGGCUUCAUCUGCCCCUCUCUUCCCAUCCUCUCUGCUGAGAUCCUGCAACCUUCUCUUCCCCUUCUGGCCAGGGCAGAGAGGCCCAGAUCCAGCUGGCUCUUGCCCAAGAGAUGCACCUGUUGGAAGAGCUAAGGUGUACUUUCCUGUGCUUUGCUCCUGUCUCUACCCUGUCUUUUGCUGUUCUCUUGACUUCUCCCCAUCCCUGUCUUCCUGCUCUUGCCACAUUCUACAUGCCAUCCUUCUGUCUGCUCCCUUACUAUCUAACCUUGUGGCUUUGCUACUCUAGCCAAGCUCUUUCCUCCAAUUCUCAGUGGGGAAGCUAAGGCCCAGAGCAUGGACAACUUUCUCAAAAUUCCCCUAAGAGCCAAAGGUAGUAUUGAGACUUUGAACCCUAACCCUAGGUAAUCUUUGUCCCUUGACCCUCUCUAUACCUAAUCAUUCUCUUGUCCCUCUGGUUGGUUCUCCCCAAAACACUUAUAGGGAAAUGAGAUGUGGUGACAAUCAGGGGCCUAGAAAAGUCAAAGGCAGCCAAAGAACUCAGAAGCUUAUGUGCAUGUCCUGUAGGCAACUCACUGUCCUGGUCUAAGUGCCACAGCUUCCCUUCCCAAAGGAGUUUCAUAAGAGGCCCUCAAGGGUGACUGGGCAGAUAUGAGGCCCUUCCCUGGAAGCUAAAAUGGUAGGAGAGGUGACCAGGGCUGGGAUUAAGGGCCCAGCAGAUAUCAGGGUUUGGAGGCCAGGGUUGGGUGUAGAAACCUAUAGCCUGGGUCCAAUGAUGGGUUAUGACUAGGUUUGGAGGCAGCUCUGCAGUAAGGAGGCUCUUCUCAGCCAAUAGGACUUAAGAGAAUUCAUCUAUUUGGUCAAUUGGUGGGUGAGGACCAGCCCAGCCUGCUUUUCUGGGCAUCAUUCCUUUUGUUUCUCUUCCUUUCCUGGUCCUUUAUGCUUCUAGUGCCUGUUUUCUGUUGUGGCUACAGGGUGAAGUAAUUUGGGAGAAGGCCCUGGGUUCAAAUUUCAAAUCCUUUUCUGCUAUGAGCUUCAGAUUUUCUGCUUGGGGAAGAGUCUGACUUGGUCCCAGUAAUUUUCCAAAAUGACAGAGACCAAAGUUGAGUUCAGUUCCUUAGAGAUUCUCUUAUCUCUGAUCCAGCUCCUGGGACAAAGGAGAUCAGUGAGGAGAGGGUGAGACUGGAGAUUGCAGGAAGAACUGGGAGAAAACAAGCCUGUAAGGGUCAGAGGCUUCCUGGGGCAUAGGGAUGCACUGUCGUCAUCAUCAAAAACAUUCUUCCCAUUACUGAGCUCCUACCAUGUGCUAAGGAUUGUACAGGGCUCUUUUCAUAUGUUGUCUUGUGGUGAUCCGCACAGCAGCCUUCAAGUGGGUUAUUACCACCCCAUUCUAUUUUAUUGUUAUUUUUUGAGAUAAGAUUGCUCGAUCUGGAGCGCAGUGACACAAUCACAGCUAACUGCAGCCUCGACUUCCUAGGCUCAAGCCAAGGAAGAGCUCCCAAGUAGCUGGGGACUACAGGUAUGCACCAUCAUGACUGACUAAUUUUUAUUAUUAUUAUUUUUUGUAGAAACAGGGUCUCACUAUGUUGCCCAGGCCUGUCUUGAACUCCUGGGCUCUAGCAGUCCCUCUGCCUCGGCCUCCCAAAGUGCUGGGAUUACAGGUGUGAGCUACCACACCUGGUCCCACCCCCAUUUUAGAGAGGAGAAAGAUGAGAUUUCCAGAGAUUGGCUGAUUUGCCCAAGACCCAAGGCUAGUAAGCAGCAGAACCAAGAUAUCUGUGUGGAGCCAAAUCAGCUUCCUACCAUGCCUCACCACUGGCUAAACCCACUAUUCCCAUCUCCUGGCCCUUGCCCUAGGAGCAUUUCGUAGCAGCUUUUCCUCUAAUGUUUUUCAUCCAGCAGGAUUUUUCAUCCUAAGUGGCCAGUCUCAAAGGGGAGGCUGACCUUAUUCUCUUGUGAAUGUAGCUCUUCUUGAUCACUCUCUCCUCCUUCCCUGGGAAAUAGGAAAUGCUGAAAAGAUCUCUUUCUCCACAAGACAUCCCUCCACCAAAUCCCCUCUCCUUUGCUUACCCAGACAGUUGUGUCCGUCAUGUGCCAGGUGGAAUCCAUCAUAGCAGGUACACCGGUAAUUGCCAGGGAUGUUGACACAGUCAUGCACACAACCUGCAUUAUCCUCUCGCUCGCACUCAUCCACGUCUGUGGGCAAAGGGAAGCUGAGACAGCUGAACCCACCUGCGAACCCACUGUCCACCCCCAGACUCAGCCUUAUGGUUGUGUUUACAUAGUUAUGUUCAUGGCCUAUAAGCCAUUUAGCAUUUUUCUGUUUUCAUUUAAACCUAAGUCAUGAACAUUUUCAGGUCUCCAUCCAGUCUUUCUAAUUACCAUUGUACAUGGUUGCAGAAUAUUAUUUUUCUAUUUUUUUCUCUAUUGUUAGAGAUUUAGAUUUCUUUAAUUUAUUUUACCAUCAUAGAUAAUGCAUCAAAGAACAUCUUCUCCCAUGUAUUAUUUUGUUACUUUGAAUAAGUCCCCAAGAGUAAAAUUCCUGGAUCAAAGGAAAUACCUUUUAAGAUUCCUGGUAGGUAUUACAAAAUUACUUUUCAAUUUAUAAUGCAACUAGGAAUUAACAAGUGUACCCUGUCCACUAAAGUCUCACCAACACUGAAGCUCAUAAAUUUAAUAUCUCAAGGCUACUUUAAUUUGCAUUGAUUUAAUUAUGAGGGGAAGAUGUGUUUACAUUAUGAACUUCCUCUGAAGCACACUUUCUGUUCCCAUCCAUUGUGGAUGUGGUGUAAGGGUCUAAAGAUAAAGGUUCCAAUGUCAGGGAACCUCAGGUCUUAGUCUUAUGAUUUUCAUGCUCCCACCCCAGCCAGGUUGUGGGCUGUGAACUGUCCCCACCAGGGCCUCUGCUAGCCUGCAUGGUGCCUUUGUGCAAAUUAGAAAAUGGCACCCUCUCUGGGAAGAUGCAGUUGCCCCCCUCACCACCCCCCCACCACUUGACCAGUGGAAUUUCUAGCCUUGAUGUGAUGGAGAGUGGCCAACUGAGGGCAGUGGCACUGGUUUGCCUUCUUCCACAGGUCCCUCUCCUCCAGGUGCCCUUCCAGCCUCACCUUUGCAGUGUUUGCCGUCCCCUGUGUAGCCAGACUUGCAGAUGCACUUGUAUGACCUCGGGGUGUUCUGGCAGAUAGCAUCGAUGUGGCAGUUGUCAGUCCCCUCCACACACUCAUCCACAUCUGGCAGGGGCAGAGGGGGCACAUGAGAACCUCUGUUGGCACCUCUUAAGGGGUGUCUUGAAGGUGGGCUUCCAAGGGCAGAAUCCCCUCUUCUCUAAAACAGAGGCAGUGACCCCCUCCAGAAACAGGUGCUGUCUCACAUCUCUCUGAUUUCAGAGUAGGCAGACACUGAUUUUGGGAAUUCAGAAGGAACCCCCACUGCCCUCAAAAAUACUAAAUUCACAGUGACAGCUAAAACUCCAUCAUUCGAAACACUCCUUUUUUUAUUUGAAAACAAACAAAAAACCCUUAGAGUGGGUAGUACACUUAACUUGAUUAGGAAUAAUCAACUUAAAGUGAAUGAGUUUACGGAGAAGGCUUAGAGGGAAAGUUAAGGGAAAAGGCAUGGGAACAGUGGUCUCUGGGAAGGUGGCAGGGUCCAGCAAUCACUAGUAAAGGAGGAAGAAAGGGGGAUGGGGCAUCUGAGGGAUCUUCAUCUGUGUCAUGAUUCUGCUUGAGACCAGGCCUGCUUCCACUUGCCCACCAUGGAGCCAAGAAGCUUUAGAGGAAAAAUGUUCCAUCCUGGAUGAUUUUCCUCGGCCCCUGUGCUGCCAACAAUGGAGACAUCCAGAGCUGGCAGAGGUUGGCACCAGCUACCUGAAGCCUAAUAAGUGCAGCCCUUCAGGCCCUAAUCCCCAGUGUUUAGCCCUCUGUCUCCUGGCCCUAGCUCUAACAAUAGGUGCUACACACACAGCUAUACUUGAAGGAAGAGGCCACUCACCAUCUAGCAAAAAAGAGGAUGGUUAGGAAAGGACAUAGAUGAUGCCAGGCGCGGUGGCUCAUGCCUGUAAUCCCAGCACUUUGGGAGGCCAAGGCAGGUGGAUCAUGAGGUCAGGAGUUCGAGACCAGCCUGACCUUGAUGAAACCCCAUCUCUACUAAAAAUACAAAAAUUAGCCAGGUGUGGUGAUGUGUGCCUGUAAUCCCAGCUACUCAGGAGGCUGUGGCAGGAGAAUCGCUUGAACCAGGGAGGCGGAGGUUGCAGUGAGCUGAGAUCGCGCUAAUGCACUCCAGCCUGGGCGACAGUGAGACUCUAUCUCAAAAAAAAAAAAAAAAAAAAAAGGACAUAGAAAAGAGUCCAACUUCUGAGGCAAUAUUAUGGUGCCCUUAAAUCUGAACUGAAAUAGAGAAACAUGUUAUUCAGUUGAAAACGCCUUAUUGAGUGUGUUUGUGAAAGACACUAUAAUGAUAGCUGUGGAGGCUCAAAGGUGACUCAGCCCAGCCAAAAGGAGAAACAAAAAACAUGGAGCAGAAUGUGGUACAUGCCCUGAAGACAUGAGAGAUAAGGUGAGGGGGUCCUCCACCCUGCACAUCAGAGUCAACUCUCCUAGGAGAUGUCCAAGCCACAACCCCAGAGAUUCUGGUCAGAUAGCCUGGACUGGUGCCGGGCCAUCAGUAUUUUUCUAAAGCUCUUCCAGUUAUUCUAAUGUGUAGUCAAGGUUGAGAACCUGUGUUACGGGGCAGAUCAGAGGAGAAAGAGAUUACUUCCAGCUGGAAACUGGGAAACCCAAAAUAGUGUCUUAAGUAGCAGCCUGCAAGUGAGUGAUCACUGAAUGGGAGGCAUUACUCUCCUGUGAUCCCACAACUGAGCACAGAAAGGAGAUGAGAUUUGACACCAAGACAAUUUGAUAUCCAAGUGUGAUCUAUGGGCCAUAGAAUUGCCUAGGUUUUAUUAAAAUGCAGAUUCUCAGGACUCAUUAUAGCCUUUUUGAAUCCAAAUCCUUAAGUGAUUAUUUUUACUGAGUGAAUGGAUGCAUGGACCAGUAUUCUCUCCAAUUUAUAGAUACCCAGAGUCCUAGCUUGAGACAGUUAUCUGUCCUCCGCUUUUAUACUCUGAAACUUCCUGGGGCUAAGAAGAGAACUGAAAUCCCCAAACACCCUGCCUCAAAUCUCACAGGUUUCCGUUCAGCUCUUCAUUCUACCCUUCAACUCCUAUGCAGCCAACCAUCAUACCAGUUGAUUCUAAGUGCUGGGAGCCUCUGUCUACACUUACUCUCCACCUCGCUCAGGCUCCAUAGGCAUGGUGUCUACCUGCUGGCCCAUCCUGGGAAGUCAUCCCAACGUGACAGAAUGGAAAAGAGAGGGCAUGGAAGACUAGUUCAUAGGUAAGGGCAAGAGGGACCUCGCAGAUGGUAAGGUGCUCUGUGGAGAAUCAGUUUGUCCAACUGAUAAACAGAAAACAGUACAAAGAAAUGUGCUAUCACAGAACGAUCUUAAGCACUGGAACCAGUCAGUCCCAGAUUCAAAUCCAGCUCUACCCUUCUCUAGGGAUGGUUUUCUUAUUCUCCAUCUCCUCCCCCUUAAAAUGGGGAUGAUAAUACCUCCUCAUGAGAGGCUGUGAGUAGCUGAUGGGAUAAUUUGUGUAAAUUGGCUAAUAAAGUAUCUGGUAAACAGUAGGGUCCCAAUACAGGAAGCUUGAGAUGGUAUUAAAUCACUGGUCAGGCAAUAGAUGCUCGAGACAGUAUGACAGCCACUAGCCACAUGUGGUUAUUUAAUUUAAAAUUCACUUCCUCAGUUGCACUAGCCACAGGCCAAAUGCGCAAUAGCCACAUGUGGCUAGUGGCUACCAUGGCGGAAAGCAUAGAUAUGGAACAUUUCCAACACCACAGAAAUAGCACUGCUAUUAGCACACCACAGGAUAGCACUGCUCUGGGGUUCUGAAUAAGAGAUACUCCCUGGGUCCAGCAGCACGGAUACUGGUCUGGAACUGCUCCCCUGACCAUAUCAGAGGUAUGUGCCUGUGACUGAAUCAGCUGGUGCUUCACUAGAGACUGUGUCAGACUAUAUGGGCUCCCAAUUCUUUCCUUUGCCUCCCAUUCAGUGCUCACCAGUACUAGAGUGGAUCUUGAUGCUGAUCACCACAAACCCAGGCCUCCCAGCAGAUUCUUUUUUUUUUUUUUUUUUUUUUUUUUGAGAUGAAGUCUCGGUCUGUCACCCAGGCUGGAGUACAGUAGUGGUGUGAUCUCGGCUCACUGCAACCUCUGCCUCCCAGGUUCAAGCUAUUCUUCUGCCUCAGCCUCCUGAGUAUCUGGGAUUACAGGCAUGUGCCACCACACUUGGCUAAUUUUUGUAUUAUUAAUAGAGACAUGGUUUUGCCACAUUGGCCAGGCUGGUCUCGAACUCCUGACCUCAAGUGAUCUGCCCGCCUUAGCCUCCCAAAGUGCUGGGAUUACAGGCGCGAGCCACUACACCUGGCCACAGAUUUUUUAGACCCCUCCUACAGCCAGACUUCUCCCACCAUCUAACUAACCCCUCUCCCUUACCUCCCUGCUCACAAUGCUUAUCCCUCUCCAGCAAAGAGUCUCUGCUCUGGAAGACAUUAUCUCUUCCUGUUCCCUCUACAAUACCUAACCAUCCUAUUCCUUUCUAUGCAUUUGCGUAUUUUCGUUAUUCACAUUGCAGAUGCAUUCCUCAUUUUUCUCUUCCAGCCACACUAUGCUCAGCUUUCCAUUCCAGCUCAAAUUUUUCUUCCCAAAAGCUCUUCCUUGUAAGCCCCGUUCCUGGUGAGUUCCUGGUCCAAGGGGACUGUUCUCCUCAGUUCAUUUACAGCCGUCACUGAAUUGCUCUGCUAAUACUUUAAAGCGUGUUCAGCUUUCCUCACCUGGCUGGGUACCUGCUGAGGAAGAUGUCCCUUCAAUGUUUGGUUGGAGUCUUUUGAAGCAGAACAGACCUAAGACAAAGCUGUGAAAGAGGGCCCCAAAUUAUACCCAGUAUCUCCUCCUUUUACCACUCAUUCUUCCAGAGUUCUCUCCUACCAUAUGUGCCCACCCAGAAUUUGUCCUUGCAAGGACCCUUCAACGCUCACAGCACAGUCUCAUCUUAGCCUGUUCUCUCAGGAUGCAGGUGCUUACUAGCUGGAAAACCAGUUGAUGCUACUGGGUGUGGACUGGUUUAAACCAGCGGUUCUCAACCCUGGGGCUACACACUGGAAUUCCCUGGGGGUUUUGAAAAAAAUGUGAAUGUACAGAUGUCCCCUAGACCAGCUGAAUCAGGAUCUCCAGGGUGAGGCUGUGGCUACUAUCUGUCUUCCUUUCCCAAGGUAAUGCCAAUAAACUAUUUGCCCAAGCUGGGAAGAGACCAGGGCAGCCACAUGACAGAGUAGUUAAGAGAGAGGUUCUGGAGCAACAUUGUCAGUUCAAUUGCUAGCUCUACCUGUGUCUGUGUGGUCCUGGGCCAGCCUCUGAACUUACCUGUUCCCUCCUCUGUAUGUGGGAAUAAUAUUCAUCAUAGUACCUCCCCAUGGGGCUUCCAGGAACAUCAGUUGAAUUAAUACCCAUCAAGUACUUAACACCACAGUGUGGGCAUAUAGAAAGUGCUCAACAAAGGUUUGCUAUUUUUUUCUUUCUUUUUGAAACAGAGACAGGGUCUUGCUCUGCUUAUCCAGGCAGGAAUGCAAUGGCAUGAACAUAGCUCACUGCAACCUCGAAAUCCUGGGCUCAAGUGAUCCUCCCACCUCAGCCUACUGAGUAACUGGGACUAUAUGCGCGUGGCAUCAUGCUCAGCCAAUUUUUUAAAAUUUUUAGAGGCAGGGUCUUGCUAUGUUGCCCAAGCUGGUCUCGAACUCCUGGAUUUGAACGACCCUCUCAUGUCAGCCUCCCAAAGUGCUGGUAUUACAGGUGUGAGUCGCCAUGCCUAGCCAAGGUUUGCUACUAUUAUUCCUUCUCUCCAACCUUCUCCCUGUAUUCUUUCUGAACUCCCUUUCCCUAUCAAAGCCCCAUUUCAGGCCUGGUGUGGGGAAAUGCAGCACCAGGUGAGCAUGUGUUGGUGGGGAGGAUUUGGGGAGACACAUCCCCACUGCUUACUCUACCUGUGCUGGGAACUGCACAAAGAAUGGGGGUGAAGUGGGUGAGAGGCCAGUUGGGAACCCAAAAGCUGUCCUCUACAAUUCUUUUUGAAGGCUAGGGAGAUCCCACUCCUACUUCAGGCCAUGCAUUGGAACCAAAGUUGAGGUGGGGGAGAGUGGUGGCUGCACAGAUACCAUAGACAAGCCAAGACCUCCCUGCCUCGCCCUGUCCUGGCAUGAAGGCACAGGUCUGUAACUACAGCAGCUUUUCCCAGUACCAUCUGACAUUUCUUCUGAAUUUGCUUUAGCGCCUAGCAGAGCACUCCAUAAACUCUCCUAAAGUAGGUAGGAAGGGUAGGAUGGGGUAUGGGAUAUGAGGGUCAGAGGGUCAGACCAGAAAGGGUGGAUUAUUAUAAAACAAGUAGUCCUAAGAUUCUGAGGAUGGGCAGGUGUACCCUAAAAGGGAAGCAGUGGGAUUCCCAAGUAAAUACUUCAUCUACUUCACAAGUUUGCCCAAGCCCAGCUCAGGAACAGUAACAAAUGGAAAUGAGCAGGGAUGCCGGCUGUGGACAAGCAGACCCCCUAGGUAGAGUCCACCCCACCUUCCCAUUACCACAGGAAUUAUUACCUUACCACCCAUAGGGGAGGGGGUAAUUGUGGGCAAAUUUGAUGGGCCCAGUGGGACAGUCAGAAACAGCCUGCCUAGAGCCCUAAUGUACCCACCCACAUAGCUGUGACAUCCUCAGCCCAGCCAGGCUAGCCCAGGAUAUAUGGUGUGUGUAGCGCACUCUGCUAUUUUCCUCUCCUUGAAUGUCCUUGAGGACCCAGUUCAGGUGCCUCUGCUGGGACACUCCCUGUGACACUACCAGCCUUCUCUGAUCUACUCUUUCUCUUGACUCCUAAGACUUACUGUCAGGCUCUCUGGUCACCUGAUCAAUCCCAGGCUUGUGAUACCUCAUAUGCUACCUUGUACCAUUAUUUAACUUUUAGUUCAUGUGUAUAAUUUUCCUACUGAAGCAGUAGGAGCUUGAGGCCAUGGCUCCUAAAGCUUUGAAACCCAUGCAGCAACUGAAAUAGAGCUCAGCAUUCAUUCAUUCACUCACUCACUCAAUAGUUAUUGAGCACCUCCAACAUGCGAAGCACCGUGCUAGGUGCUGGGGAUUUGGCAGUGAACCAGAGAUGAAUUCUACAUUGAAGCCACUUAGUAAAUAUUUGUUAAACAGAUAGACGAGUGGAUGGAGACAUGGAUGCAUUAGUAGUGAGUGGAUAAUGUCUCUAUCUGUGGCAUCCCUUCUGCUCUAUGUUACCUCAGAGAAAAAUCUCACUUCUUUACUCUCCGUGAUCCCACAACUGUUCUGGAUGGGGGAAGUCCCAGGAAGUUUAGUCUCAAGUGGAGAGUAGGGAGAGAGGAAACUAAAUUCAGAGGGGUAGUACCCACUUAAAGGCAUCCAUAUGAUGAGUGCUGGGGCCAGAAGAGACUGGAACCAAUGAGUCAUAGGGUCUCAGGGUCUUCAGACAUCAUAUGGGGCUGCUACAGGGAUCUUUUCAGAGCAUCCCCUUCAACAGAUGUUCCUCAGCCUCCAUGCUAACUCUCAAUGAUGGGGCACCUGACACAGGCAUUCCACUGCUUGCCCCUGGUGAUUUCCCUCAUUCUCACCUCUAAGUAACAUCCAAAAUAAAACCAGCCCAGCCUUGGGCCAUGAUAUCCUAACCCACAGCAUGUGCACAUGUACCCACAUCUGCAUAUCUGCUCUACCUCCAGAUCAAAAUAGCAACCAGGGAGAUUGGCAGAGCCUGGAGUACCAGGCUGUCUUCCCAGUUUGGGACUGGCUGAGGCACUGUGACUUCAGUGAGAGUCUGGGCCCAUCCUCAGUCUAGAAAAAGCUUAUGCAAGGAUGAGGGUAGCCUAGAGAAAGUCCAGAAAACCACACAAAUGACCACCUGUUGAUUCCAAGGCGGAGACAGAGCACUUUCUCCUUUUAAAAACAGUAUCCUCUCCUCUCACUCAAGCUUAGCCUGCUCAACUGAACAGCCAGGAAAAGCUGCUGGUGUUUGGUGAUUUGAAGGGAAGGGGGUCUGAACCUCAGAAGCUUGUCACUUACUGGGGACCCUGAUGAGUUUCUCUCUGUUGUCCUGCCUUAUCCCUAAUCUAGCUCCCUGAUCAUUUGAAUGUAACCCUAAUUGGACAAGAAUUUUCUCCCUUUCAGUAUGGACAAAAUCAACAACCAUGAAUCAGAGACUUUUAGAGGAUGGGUAGUGAAGUGGGGGAAGAACAGAACAUUGUAGAGUGAGGGGCAGAGAGGCAGGCAGUGGGCAUGGGUAGGUUCUGGUUUUGUGAUUAGUAAUAUUAUCUCUUUAAUUGAAAAAAAUAAACUCAUUUCAGAUUCGUAUAAUUUCACUAAGUGUACAGUUUUUUCAUGCAGGUUGGUUCACGUGGUCUUCAAACUGUCCUCUCUCAUCUGGGGCCCAGUGAGGAUACCUCAGGAAAGAGCAAGUAGCUAGUGUAAAGCCAGGAUCCAGGUCUUCAAACUCCCAGUCCAGUGCUCUCUAACUACCCACUGUGUUCUCUAAGCACUUGAGGGAGGAAUCCAUGCCUUAGUCAUUAUUGUACCUCCCCCAACUCCACCUCAGCACUUAGUUCAGCAUGAAGCAUGCAUCCAGUAUAUAACCGUGGAGCGGAAGGAGCUGAAAUGUACAUGAUCCAGGGAGGAAAUCAGCAGUGGGAAUGCAGAUGCUCUGAGGCUUUGGGCAUGGGAGCAGCAGAAGAGAGCAAGGCUGAGUAGUGGGCAGGGAGGGUACAGACACAGUUGCAAUAAGGAAAGGGUGGGCAAUGCAACAGUGGGCAGGUGUUGCCUGCCCUUGGAUUCACUAUGCUGGGGCCAAGCAGCUGGUUAGAAACAAAAACAAACACCAGGGAUACAGGUUCCUGCUGUUAACAGCUUCAAACCGCCAGAGGAAAACUCCAAAUAAAUAUAAUUAGAAACUUGUAAAAACGUCCUCUCUGUAAACCUGCUCCCCAGGGUCUACCCUUCAAGCACUCCCCUUCCCCAGCCCUCCCCCCAAUGCCCACAUAUCCUGAUACUCCCCACUUUCAGAGGGAUUCCUUAGAUGUGUUUCCUUAUCCUGGAUCUUCCCUCCAGCCCUGCAGCCCCUGCCCAGGUCUUUCCUCAGCUUGUUACCACCAGUGACCAGACCUGAAGAGCCCCUGGUGUAGGCUCAGAAAUCCAAACCCCACAGCUCUCUAGGGCUAUGGUUAUAACCACAGGGAAAACCAGAGGUAAGAGCAAGGACCACUGUGCCCUAUAUAGGGGUCAUCAUCCCAUUUGUUCAGCCAAAGCACAGCAUCUAACAGCAACUACAAAGCAGUGCUUGAUCUGCAGGGGGACAUGUCUAGGCUAGGGCAGAAUACAGACAGCUAGUCUCAGAGCUAGAAACACGGAAUCCUGGGGCCCAGAUCCAAGAAUAUUCAGUUCCCAUAACACGGAUAUUUCAGCUCCACUUCCCAACUUUGUUGGAUACACACAUAUAGAAACACACAUGUGUUCUUCAGGGGCUAUUUCCAGGGAUAAAUACCCACUUCAUGGACACAGUAAGAACUAUCAGCUACUUGGGGUUCCAGGAAACUGGGGUGGGGGAAGAAAGGAAGAGUAUCCAGAUGACCUAGCCUCAGGCAGGCAGAAGUGGACCAGCAUCCAAGGAGGAGAGCGCCUGAGAUUUGGGUGAGUAACCUGUGGAGGCCCGGCGCCUUCUGCCUUCAGCAGGAAGGAUUUCAGUGAGAUGUGCAGAAUCUCAGGGCUGCAGGGAACCCUACUGAUAUUUUACAAGUGAGAAGAGGGAUUUCAGUGAUUUCCUCCGAGGCUCAAAUCCUUAGGCUCUGCAUUUGUCUAAACCCACUGGCACCAUAUACCUCUAUAUCCCCGGUGCCACUUGAGGCUGGCAUUGGGUGGGCAUAGGAACAGGAGAGUAGCCAGUCCAAUGUUAAGUGGCCAGUGGGGGAGGGGAGUCUCUGUCCCCUCUUAGCCCAGGUGACUAGCUCCUGUACCCCCUAGACAUCCCUGGGUUGGCCGUUGUUUCGCUUCUAUACCCAAGGCCCAGCAGUCCUUCUGUUUCCAGACUCCAGUCUUCUGAGCCUGAAGAAGCUGUCCCCAGGUCUGGGCCUCUUGCAGGCACUGCCAGCCUCAGAGCAGCUCUGCAGUUUCCAGCCCUGACAGGGACUCUUUCUUAUAAGUGGUCAUGUGCUAGGGAUACGGGAUGUCAAAGGAGGCCCACACCCUGACAUUUGGGGACCAGAGCUGGGGGAAAGGACUGAGUGAGUUCAGGCAGCAAGCUCUUCCAGCUCCAUCUUCUCAAAAGGUCUGAAGCCCUUCGUUCCCUUCCCCUGUCCUCAGUUCAAGGCACUGGACCAAGCCAUUCCACUUCUUUACUUCUCCAACUAAAACAAAAUGCAUAUUGCCCCACUUCCUUUUUCCUCUCACCAGAGCACUUCACACACACACACACCCUGAGUCAUGCACACACAUUCACACGUGUGUGAAUGCACACUUCACAUUCCCAAACUCACACCCAGGGCCGGCUCCUCUUACAACAGGUCCCAGCUGCUCACAUCUCAAACCGGUUCUCAUGCUCUCAGAUUCCUGAAGGUUUCAAAAAACAAUCUCAUUUGAGGGCUGCUGAUGACUGUCUUCUUUCUCUGCCUGCAGUAAUUCUGGCCUUAGUGUCUUCUAGUCCCCUUUCUCUUAUUCCACCCUGCAGAGACUCAAAGAGAUGAGAAGGAAGGGGUUGAAAACAGGGAAAAGUCUCUGUACUCUCCCACCCCGAGGCUUUCCCCACCUCUGAGACAUGUCAUGAGAGAAGAGAGGUCAAAGGGAUUCCUGAGGAAUUUCUAAGCAGUCCACCCUCUUCUCCACCUUCUGGAAAAAUGGGGGUGGGCUUAGAGGGAACUGACUAAAGAUCAGGCUCUGAGUGGGGACUCUCCCUCUCUCCAGUGUGGCCUGGACAGGGCACAGGCAAUAGCCGGCUGCCCACGGGGCCACCCUUACCCGCUGACAUGGUUAUGGUUUUCAUUUCAUAUUUUGGAGGGAGGGGCUAGUAGGAACAGUCCCCUCACUGUAAGAGCUGGCCACAGGAGCCCAGGGAAGCGGGGAGGAAAGGAAACAGCCACAUUAAAGAGGAAGAGAAGGGUGGGAGAAAGAAAGAGACACAUACACCCAGACAGAGACCCGGAGAGACACACCGAGACAGAGAGACACUGUUUGCCACCACAUGAACGCUCUCAGUCCCAGGGAUGGGGUUACUUGGAAAUUCUAAAUGCAUGACUUUAUCAAAACUCUAUCCCUAACAAGGAGAGAAAACUACCAGGUAAACUAAACGGCCAGGCUGGCUCUCCUGGAGCCAGCCCUGGGGACAAGUUUCCCUGGAGGCCGAGAGACCUUUUCAUUCAGCUGUAACCUGAGCCCUAUGCGAGGAUUAGGUCUUUUUAACCACUGCUGCACACACCCCCCCCCCCGCCGCGCCUCCCCCCCGCCCCCCCCCCCCCCGCCAAACACCCACCCCCUUACCAAAAGCAAAGCAAAUUAAUGCUUUUAAGUUAACAAUUAUCUUGGUUAUCCAGUCUGUCUACUUUAAAAUAUACAGACAAGCACUUGAAAAACACUCAAAACCAUGUCCCCUCAUGCUCCCUCCCUUCCCAGUCACACAGGCUUACCCACCUACUCUUCCAUACAGUUCUCACAGACACUAAAACAGCAGUUUACCCUUAGCAACUACGUCACAAGAAACACAGACAUCCAGCUAUGUUGCCUGUGGGUAACUGUGGUGAACCUCUCAUGUGUGCACAGUCGCACACUCACCUUUACACUUAGGGCUCCCUUCCUUGUCUCCCCCUUUCCCCCCUUCCACAUGACUUUGGUUUUCCCAUUGUGGGAAUCACUGAUGAAAAGGGACAGAAACCCAGAUACCCCCAGAGGUAUAGUAACUCCGUGCAAGAUACUUGCCAAGGGUAUUUGAUUUUAAAGACCUGCUAGUGCUUUAUAUAAAGCAUGUGGCAUUAAAGGCACACUUUCUGGCACUGCUGAUAACCAGGAGAUAUGUUUGAAGGUAAGGCCUCCCUGAUGCUCACAGACUGUGUCUAUGGGUAAGGCUGUAAGGUUGCCCCGCCUGGUCAGUACUAGUUCUUCCUGCAGCAUCUGCCUGCAAGUUUGUGUCCAGAGACAUCCCUGUAACCCAGCAAACCUGCUAUUAGGCAACCUCUGGCAGAUGGGGUUUGUAGAUUUCCUGAAGAGAAGGGUCAAUGAAAGGCUUCCAUUCUAGGCCAAGCUUAGGGAUCAGAAGAAAAGAAGGAGGAUACCAAGCUAACUGCGGUCCAGUCACAGGAAGGGUGGCCUGUGAAUGAGAUAAGCUGGGGACAAAAACUACUCUAAGUUCCUUGAGGGCAGGGGCCUUCACUCUGGCAGCAUGUUCCUCAGUACCCAGCAGGGAGUCCAAUGAAAGUGGAAGCCCUGGAGUACCAUGCAGGGAUUCUGACUCCCGUUCCUGAAUCAUGAGCUGAUCUCCCAUACUUGAGUGCCUUGGCUUGAUGGCACCUGUCCCUUGGAGGGGUCUCCAUCUGCCCCUGGGCCCCCCUCGAAUACACUGCUUCUCCUUUGGUCCACAGCCUCACUAGGCCACUACAGACACUGGCUCCAACUUGAAAGAGGCCCUUAUCUUGUCUCUAGGUUACUUCAUGAUAUCUGUUCCUUCCUUCAGACUAAACUCCCCACCUAAUUCCAUGUUAUGAGUAAGUCAGCACACACUACAAAAGCCAGCUUUGUUUAUGAAAACACAAAUCCACAGUGAGGAGAGGGGCUGCUCCCAGGUUGGGGGUGGCAGUGGCGAUGCGCUGUCUGGAACCAGGACUGGAAAAGAGGCAGUGUGGGGCUGGAAGGUGUGGGGGCAGGGUCCAGUAUUUGACAGCUGAGGAUCUCUAGUGUUUCAGUUCUGUGAAAGGACAGGUUGGAGGGGGAAGAGGUUAGCUGAAGAGGCAGUGUUUGGGGAGAGGAGGGCGGCAUUGAUACAGCACCUUCCUCUUCACAGAGCAGGAGCCCAUCCAAUACAACAGAGCAGCUUAAGAGCCAAACGCUCAGGCUCUGGGACACAGCGACCUGUGUCGGACACUCAGGCUUCCCCAACUCCCAAGUUCAACUUUCCUUCUGGCCCAGCCAUCUCCUCACCCAGCUGGCUUCAGGAGCCCCUGGGACAAUAGGCAGAAUCAUACUCUCCUGGGCAAAACCUUGCCAGGAGGAAUUUUCUUUUUGUCCAUAUAAAUCUCUUGUCGGUGAGGACACGAUGGGGGAGGGGUACAGCAAGAGGUCAAGGGGGAGGAGAAACUGUCCCGAGAGAACUGUAGUACAUCAGCCUAGUCUCUGCCUGCACAGCCUUGGGACCUGCCAGGCGAUGAGCUGGGGGUCAGGGACGGGGGCGGGAGGCCUCCCUGUCUCUCUUUAAUUCCUAGAGGGAUCUGUCAGAGCUCCCCGGCCUGGAAUUCUACUUUGUUAUUUUAAUGCAAUUCUGACCUGGAUUUAAAUGGAAUUGGAAACCCGAGGCCUUAAUAAAUAAAUAUUAUGAUAAGAAAUGAAAGCCAUGCAAGACGAAAGAGAUUUCACCCCAAAGAGGCAGAAACGCAACAUUCCUGUCGGGAGCCAGUCACAGAAAUUUUCUUCUCUUCUUCAGCCCCCUACCAUCCGGUGAGAGAUGAGUUGAUUUUUCCAUAAAAGAUCCUAUUUUUCUUCAACAUUUUUCCACUGAUAAGGCAUCAACUUAGAAAUGUCUAACUUUGCAUGCGGGUUGGGGGUAAGGGAAAGAAAUAUACGGCACGGCUGAAAAGUUUUCAUUAUUCCCUCAGUCUCUCCAGGCCACAGCGUAAGUUUCUGGCAAUGUUUGAGAGAAGAGAAAAUUCUCUCUCAGAUUUUGGAAGACAAGAAGUCUUUCGAAGAUGCUGGGAGUGGAUGAAGUCGAGCGGAAUUCUGAGGCGCGUGGUCUCUUCUGCCCACCGCCCCCAAGAGUUUCUCACUCCUCUCUGCCGCCCCCAGCUUGUCCGGCUUUUCGCUCGGGGCGCAGCGCCCAGCGGUCGGGCCCCUGGCCGGGGAGUCCGGGUGCACAGAGCCGGGUUCUGACAGCAGCACGCUCCCCAGCACCUGCCCUGCCCCUCGGGAAUCGCUCCUAGGCCCUGAGGCCCAGCAGCCAGGACAGCCCCCAGGCCGCGCGCCCCUCCUUCCUUACCUUGCGCGGCUUUGCUGUACUGGGCGGCGCGGGCGUGGACCAGCAGGACAAGCAGGCAGAGCCCGGGUACGCGCCCCGAGCCCAUGGCUGGAGCUACUGGCGGCCCAGCCGCCGGGGCCGGUCUCGCGGCCAGGGGAGGGCGGAAGCCGGCCGGAUCCCAGCUCGCAGGAGGGGGAGGGGAGGGGGCGCCCCGCCGGGGCCAGGCCGGGGGCUGCAGUCGCGGGGCGCGGACCGCGGCGCCCUCGGCGCGAGGCUCCCGAUGCUACCGGCUCCUCCUGGCCGGACGUCGGGGAGAGCGAGGCGGAGAGUGCGACGAGGCGAGGGGCGCCAGGGGCGACUGACGGAGGGGAACCCCCGCCCUCUCCAAGCCGGCCUCUGCCAGCGGCGGCGGCGGGGCUGCUCCGUGUAAUCCCACCCAAUUCCCAGCUUCGCCGGGAGAGAGCUGCAGCCGGAGAGCGCGCAGAGCCCGAGCGAAGGACCUGAGAAAGGGGAGGGGAAACGCAGCGCCAGAAACACGCCCUUUCUGCCUCUCUUUCUUCCUCUCUCGCUCUUUCUCCGUCUCUCAGGCUCUUUUUCUUCGCCUUUCUCCUCCUCCUCCUCUUUCUCCUCCUCUCCUCGCUCCUUUUCGUUUUCUUCCUCCUCCCCCUCCUCCUCCUCCUCCUCCUCCUCCUUCUCCACCACCUCCUUUUUCGUGCCCUUUUUUCUUUCAAAUGGGGCCUCGGCGCGGUGGCCGCUCCCCCUGCGCGCCCGGGCGCGGUGGCCCCCUCCCCAGGCUGCCGGGCCGCUGCCUGCAGGAAUUUACAAUCCGGCGAUGGGGGAGCGGGCCUGGUCUCCAUGGAGACGGCUUCCCCGGGAGCAGGGAGGUCAGGCGCAGACCGCGCGCAAUCAAUGGAUCAAUGCAAGCUCCGCUCGGCUCCAGACCAAACAGCACCGGGCUCCGACUCGUCCUCGCUCCCCUAGGAAAGAGUCGGGGAGCGAGGGUGCGUCCCCGCGCUCGCUCGCGAGGACGGCCGUGCGGCGCCAGGUUUGAACGCACACCUCCACCCGAGACAAAGAGGGUGCGAGGUGUUGGGGAGGCUGGGGCAGACGUGGACACACGGACACACGGGCACUCGGGCGUGUCCACCGACACAGCCUGACAGGGGACAUAGGACCUCGGAACACACCGCCUCCGACACCAGGCCGAGUAACAACCUCUCAACUUUUACACCUACCACACCCCCAACCUCAAGACUCAGUCCCCAUUCCUAGAUGCGAGUCCACUUUGAGGACCAAAAAGAAAGUAGCCUCCGCCUGCUAAAACUGCCAGCUCCAGGGCAGACUCCCUUGCAGUUAAGGCCUUGGAGGUAAGCCUAAUGAACCACCCUACCCGCAGAGACAUGGACUCACAUACAGACACUCUCAUGUGGUCAGCACAGGGGCGAAAGCUACCCCACAGAAUCAUGUCUAUGUGUAUAAACACAGAGACAUAGAGACAGGUACAAGAGGCUCCUCCAAACCUGCACCCCGCUUCAAGAGGUGGUCCUGACUGGUCCAUUCUGAACCCUUCAUCCUUCCAACUGAGGGGAAGCAGAGGAAAGAGAAAGGAUAUUUUUAAAACAGGGGCAAACCGCAGAAGGAGCAGGGUCUUCCAACCAUGGAUGCUGCCUCUUGACUGUUCACCCACUCUGUAUCUUCUUUCCUUCCAUUGUAAGGGAAAGAGGAAAGACCUCUUGAAAGGCUAUGAAGACUUUCUUGGAGUGUGAGGCUGUGUUCAGAAUGAGACCAGGCCAGGUCCAGUUUUCUACAGGGAAGAUGCUGCUAGGACCCAGACUAGCCUCACAGAGCCCUCAGCGUACCCAGGAGGAAGAGGCAAUGACCAAGAUCUCCUCAAAGGUGCCGCCAUCUAACAUACCAUCCUUCAGCCCUUGGUGAAGUCCUGAAGCCAGACCUCUGGGAGUCUACUCAGGGAACCCACUGCCUCAAACAAAUUUGCAAAUAAAAUUAUUGUAUUUGAAAUAGGCCCACAUUGGUGAAGUUAAGAUGUGGAACUAAUUGUAUGUGUAUUUCUAUAUAACCACAGACUCAAUGUUUGAUGUUUGACAUUUAUUGUGCACUUACUAUGUACCAGGGACUUAAAGGAUGUGGGGAUUCAAAGAUGACAUGGUUUCUCCUUUUAAGUUUAUGAUUUGGCAAGAGAAAUUCACAUCUAAAUAAUUGGAAUAUAAGGCAGAAUGUGGUAAAUGUCCAAACAUGGAGGUGCCAACAUAAAAUUCUAAUGAGGGCAUAAAGAGCACAGAUUAAUUCCAGCUGGAAGCAGGAGGACAACUCAGUGGAGGAGGAAAGGGUUUAAAGCUGACCUCAAAGAAUAUAUAGAAUUCUCAUACAUGGAGUUGGGUGAAGAGAGUGAGGGCUUUCCAGGUGGCAGGAACAACAUGAGCAAAGACUUGGAGAGGAGAAUGUCUUCAGGGAAUUAAUAAUUGGUUCAAUCAGAGACAAGUAUUUCAGAGAGUGUGGAGGAAGAUCUGAAAGGUGGGAUGGGGCUAGACAAUGAAGAGCCUGUUUCCAUCAGAUGCUAAGCGACUGACAGUGUUGCAUAGGCUCCGGGAACCCGGCAACUUUACAGCAAAGUAGCAGCAUGGCGGGCUCACUUCAUGAAUUAGCUUUAUGUGUGCUCCAGGAUUUCUUCAAUGUGUUGAUUUUUAGUGAAUUUAUUUCAUCAUGAAUGCAGGAAGAGAACAGAAAGAAAAACGGGGAAAAGAGGACAUAAAAAGAAGUGGGCUGGGCAUGGUGGCUCACACCUGUAAUCCCAGCACUCUGGGAGCCUGAGGCAGGCGGAUGACGAGGUCAGGAGAUCAAGACCAUCCUGACUAACACAGUGAAACCCCAUCUCUACUAAAAAUACAAAAAAUUAGCUGGGUGUGGUGGCGGAUGCCUGGAGUCCCAGCUACUCGGGAGGCUGAGGCAGGAGAAUGGUGUGAACCCCAGGAGGCGGAGCUUGCAGUGAGCCGAGAUUUGGCCACUGUACUCCAGCCUGGGUGACAGAGCAAGACUCCGUUUCAAACAAACAAACAAACAAAAAAGAAGUGACAGGGAGGGAAAUAAUGGACAGAAGGAAAAGAGAGAUGGAGAAGGAAGAGAGAGAAAGAGAAGGAGGCAGCCCUGGAGGAGACAAGGCAAACCCUGAACUGUUCAGGGGCCAAGCUUAAGGAGCUACUUGGGCUUUUCCAGGCAAACGACCUCUGGCUUCUUGCCCUGGCCAACCACAGAGGACAAUGUGAGGCGAGUUUGUUUGGUGAUGUGUUUUCUGCUGGCCCUGUUUGUUUGUUUUUCAUUUUUCUGGUAUUGGACAGAUCUGGGGUGAAGGAAGAGGGAGACAGGGUUGUGGCUGGCAUUGAUAGUGGUCCUUGGGCUGGGCUCUGGGCUGCCCAGAGCCCCCCUUUAGUGGGGGCUUAUGGGCAUUGGAGCUGAACUUUUGAUGUCCCUGGAAGGGGGCCUUUUUGUAGGUGCCCAGAGCCAGGUGGCCUUCCCAAGCCUGGAGAUGGUUUGCCCUAAGCUCUUUGUCUCUGUCUUUCCCCACCCUGGCAAGAAAGAAUUAGUCCUUGAGGCCUGGGCUCCUUGCCUGUGUAGCCAGGAUGUCGUGCUGGGCUGGGGAGCCCAUGGGGGUAGCAAGAGCAGCUGCUUCCAGAUUGGUGCUGGGGAACGCAGGGGCAGUCCACGAGAGCCAGCCUUCUCCCCAGCCCCGAUGAUGAGUCUGGCUUUCUCUCCCGUCCCACAGCCCUUGGAAGCCAACCUAACAAGUUCUAUUAAAGUUAAUGAAACACAAUGAUUCCUCUGUUUGCUUGGUUACAACUCAUUACGAGUUGCUCUUGCUUGCUCGGCUUUUGCAGAGGAGAUUCAUUUGAGUAGCCAGUGCUUGGCCUUUGUCCCCCUAAUUUUUACUGGCCCAUUAACAAGAUCAGACACUUUGGCUGACCAGGAAUAUCUAGUACCCAAGUCCCAACAAAACCCAUUGGGUGGAGUUUCAGAUGACCUUUUGAGUCUAAAUUAGCCUAAAAACAUGCUGCCGCCCUUCCUCCCUCUGUUGCUUCCCUAUAUCCAAACUCAGUUUUAUAUGUAGGUACAAUAGGAGUAUGCAGAGAUUUCAGAAGUUAGGAGAUGCUUUUCCAGCCUCUUUAGAAUGUAUCUCAACCCACUGAUUUAGAGAAGUUCCCUAGUAAGAGCUCCAGCUCGAUUUAAGGGCUUUCCUCCCCCAUUUAAAUGGAAAUAAACUGAACAUUGUUAGUCACUUAUACUUUGGUGUGAAUUAGUUCAUAUUGUCACUUUAAGGGGAUUUGGGAGUCUCCUAAAUUGUAUACAAACUUUUGUCCACAUUAUCCAUUCUUCCAGAGAGAGGUUUUCUAUAGCUUUCUUCAAAAUUUCCAUAACCGUCCCCCCACCCCCUACCCCAACACGUACACACACACACACACAAACUCUCUCUCUCUCAAAAGGUUAACAACCUCUGUGUUAGUAGAAGAGUGGGCCGUAACUGGGGCACAGAAGACAAACUCUCCUUCCUUCACCAUCUGCUUGGCCAGUCCUGCCUCUAAGGAGGGACCUUCCCCUCCUCCUUGAGUUCCUUAUCCACAGACCUCCCAUUGUCACCACAGCUCAAUCAUGUGCUUCCCAAAUCUUAAAACCAACCUCAAGUUGGUGGGGAGGAGUCAAAAGGAGAGCCCUUGAACUCUAUGUUGAUUUACAUGCCGAGGCUGUAAAUGAUAGGUUUACAUGCUGGUGUAAAUACUCAUAAACUCGCAGUAAGUGCAGGGCAUCACAUGCUUUCAGUGUCCAGAUCCUCUGCAGCCCGUACAGGCCUGGCAUUCUCAGGGUCAGGGAGGAGAGCGCCGAGUUGGCAGCAGCUAGCAUGACAGGGGCUGACUAUGACUAUGGAGGAAAAGGGCGUGCUUGGAGUUGGUCUCUAAACCCUCAUCCUCUCCCAUACAGCAGGUGGCUUCUGCACAGUGAUACCUUGGCAUGACUCCCCCUGCUGCUCAGCCAGCCUGACUGUUCUUUUGGGUUAAAGCAUUGUCUCCAGAAGGUCCCUGUUAAAAUGCAAAGGGGCUUCUUGCAGGGUGACUUGGGCUGGUUGGCUGACUGGCUGUCACUCAACAGAAAACAGAGACCCCAGAUCAGGGAGGUUAAGGUUUGGGAGAAAGGUUCAGGUGGGUCAAUACUAUAGCUAUAUGAAGUUGAUUUAAAUGGCUUUCCAGGUGUUCUCCCUAAUUCCACUCUUGGGGGCUGAGAAUCUAUCCUUCAUAUGGCAGCCAGAGUCGUUUUAAAGCUGGGCCAUACAACCUCAACGUGAUUGACGUUUGUUGGGGGGCCAUCCUAUGCAUUGUAGCACAUUUAGCAGCAUCCCUGGCCUCUACCCACUAGGUGCCAGCAGCAGCACUCCCUCCCCACGUUGCGACAGCCAAAAAUGUCUACAGACAUUGACACAUGUCCCCUGGGGGAGGGGAGUGAAAUCAUACCCCCUAUCUUCACUUCCCCCUGCCCCACUGAGAAUCUCCAUCAUAAAGUGUAAGUCAGCCCAUGUUACUCCCUGGUCAAAAAUCCUACCAUGUCUUCUCAUUGUUCUGAGCAUGAAAUCCGCCGUUUGGCCCAGCCUUCAAGGCCUUGUGUAGUCCAGCCUUGCCUCCCUCUCCUGCCCCACCUUGUACCCCUCUGCUGUCAUCUACCAUCACCCUUUAGCCACAUAUAACCCUUUUUGACAUACCUCGAUAAACCAAGCUCUUUCUUGGACAGGGUGGAAGAUGGAGAGAUAUGGGCAGAUUUAGAGUAAGUUUCAGAGGCCCUAAUUUCUUUGGAUUUUACUGGGAGGCCUUUUCUUUUCGCUUUUUUGAGAUGGAGUUUAACUCUUGUCGCCCAGGCUGGAGUACAAUGGCGUGAUCUCGGCUCACUGCAACCUCUGCCUCCUGGUUUCAAGCAAUUCUCCUGAUUCAGCCUCCUGAGUAGCUGGGAUUACAAGCGCUUGCCACCAUGCCCGGCUAAUUUUUGUAUUUUUUAGUAGAGACAGGGUUUCACCAUGUUGGCCGGGCUGGUCUUGAACUCCUGAUCUCAGAACGUAAGCUCCAUCAGAGCAGGGACCAUGUCUGGCUUGUUCACUAUCGUGUCCUCAUCAUCUCCUGUACUGCCUGCCACAUGAACAAUGGCCAUUAACAGGCAUGGAACUGGAGCAGAAAUGGAAUGAACCCUAGGGGCCUGGGAGCCUGGAGGGGUGUAGGAGUGGGGAGGGGAUUGGGGAGACAGGCGGCAGAGGAAAGCGCCUGCCCUCGCCUCCUCCCAUCACCCCCUAUACCCCUGUCCCUAAUGAGGUGCUUCUGGCGGCACCUGACUUUUCCAUUGCAAACACCACUUGACUCUCGGCCCUUCACACUCUCAUGAGGUUCUAAGGGGCUGCACAGGCGCCGCCCACCCCAGCCAUGCCCUGGGACUCACCACACACCAGGAAGGCCGGGAGCUGCAGCAAGGGGACAGCUUAAAACAGCCCCACCAACACCCCAAAGUGGGUCUCCCAGUUCCCCGAGAAGGCCUGGAUGCCCUGCUGAAGGGUGAGCAGGGCCAUGUGGGUGACUUGGAGGACCCAAUUCCCCGGCCAUGGGAACCCCCAGCCUGGGCUUUCUUUGGGGGUAGCUGAGACAACGAGCCCCCACCCAGAGCAGGAGAUGACGCAUUUUUUCUGUGGCCACAAGCCACUUUGACGGGUCCGCCCCACUGGGGAGCAACCGAAACCUCAUCCCACCCAAAGCGGCCUUUGUCUGCACUACAUAUUUGUCUUAUUUGGAAGAUUUUUGUGGGUUUUCCUGUCUUUCUCCAGCGCUCACUGCCCUAAGGGGGACGAAGGCCAUGGCGGAGCUGAGGGAAGGGGGUGAGAGGCAUUCUUGGGGCGCUGUGCCUGGUGGUCUGCAGCACAUUUGGGGGUGGGAGAGAAAUCCACCCCACACACCCUCGGCGCCCCAGUGAUGCCUUGGCCCCAGGCCACACUCUGGGCCUUGCCUGUCCUCUGUGGACUCGUGCCCCUCCUGGUCCUCCCAGAGCUGUUUCCUCUCCAUCUUCUCUCAGCCUCCUCAGCUCACUCUCCAAUACUUCUGUUUAUUCCCUCAUGUUCCAUCCUUCCAGCCAGCUUGGCACCUCAUCAUUUCCUACCUCCCCCGUCAUGGGACCCUCUGCUUUCUUUCUACCUGUCUGAAUUCUGAAGACUCUCCCAGGGCUUGUUCCCCCAUCUUGCCUCCUCCUGGGAGCCUCCCUGGACUACUGUAGCGCUUGGCAGGAUCUCCUCCUUCUGAAAUGUAAAAGUAUGUGUUUUCUAUCCUUUCUGUGAUUCUAAACACACCCUGCCCCUAUACCACCUGCCCAGCUAAAUAGAGGCCAGAGGCCAUGGCUUUUGUGCCUUGGCGUCCAAGCCCCAUCCUGCCUUGUACAAAGCAAUUGCUCAACUAAUAUUUGUUGGUUUGGGGCUUCUUAAGGGCUACCCAUGAGAUUACCAACAAAUUAGAGAAUUUCAGUGAUGGAAGGGACCUAAGAGCUUGAAUUCUUGCUAAGGGGUGUCUGGGUUCAGCUUACAUACCUUUAAUGACAGGGAUCUUACCACUUCCUGGGGCAACCCAUUCCCUUGCCUGUAACUCUGACCAUAAGAAAGUUCUUCCCCACGUUGAGCUAAAACCUGCUGCCUUCUGGCUUUCCCCACCCUACUCCCAACUAGGUCACAUCAAACUAUUCCAGUCCUCUUUCCUCACGACCACCCUUCAGAUAUUUGAGGGCAGCAAUCUCCUACCUCUGCAGUCUUUUCUUUUCCAGGGGGAAACACCUGUAGUCCUAACCUUCAGUGCCCCAAUGCCCCUGAUGACCAUGGACUUUGGGUAUUCCCCCCCACCCCUGUGCUGGGCCUCUCCCACAUCCCUGCUGAACUCAUUCUUCUCACAAAAUCCCC
Molecule: long non-coding RNA, 40136 nt
Filed under: Homo sapiens (human)
Lineage: Eukaryota; Metazoa; Chordata; Mammalia; Primates; Hominidae
Description: non-protein coding lnc-TCP11-2:5
Source: RNAcentral